UGGGGAAUAUUGCACAAUGGGCGCAAGCCUGAUGCAGCAACGCCGCGUGAACGAUGAAGGUCUUCGGAUCGUAAAGUUCUGGUGCAGGGGAAGAUAAUGACGGUACCCAGUGAGGAAGCCCCGGCUAACUACGUGCCAGCAGCCGCGGUAAUACGUAGGGGGCUAGCGUUAUCCGGAGUUACUGGGCGUAAAGGGUGCGUAGGUGGUCUUUCAAGUCGGUGGUUAAAGGCUACGGCUCAACCGUAGUUAGCCUCCGAAACUGGAAGACUUGAGUGCAGGAGAGGAAAGCGGAAUUCCCAGUGUAGCGGUGAAAUGCGUAGAUAUUGGGAGGACCACCAGUGGCGAAGGCGGCUUUCUGGACUGCAACUGACACUGAGGCACGAAAGCGUGGGUAGCAAACAGG
RNAcentral lists this ribosomal RNA (403 nucleotides) under Verrucomicrobiota bacterium. Its description in RNAcentral is "Verrucomicrobia bacterium partial 16S ribosomal RNA". It matches the Rfam family "Bacterial small subunit ribosomal RNA", at positions 355 to 776 of the family's 1533-position model. The record is from RNAcentral. Lineage: Bacteria; Pseudomonadati; Verrucomicrobiota.